AAGUCGUAACAAGGUCUCCGUUGGUGAACCAGCGGAGGGAUCAUUACAGAGUUGCAAAACUCCCAACCCUUUGUGAACGUACUGAAAAGUUGCUUCGGCGGGAGGCUCCUCAGGGAGCGGACCGCCGGAGGAAUCCAAACUCUUGUUUUUUUGGCAUCUCUGAGUAGCUUAUAAAUAAGUUAAAACUUUCAACAACGGAUCUCUUGGUUCUG
This 212-nucleotide unclassified non-coding RNA is filed under the name Cercophora sp. RNAcentral describes it as "partial internal transcribed spacer region". The stretch from base 1 to 46 matches the Rfam family "Eukaryotic small subunit ribosomal RNA", at positions 1786 to 1831 of the family's 1831-position model. Lineage: Eukaryota; Fungi; Ascomycota; Sordariomycetes; Sordariales; Lasiosphaeriaceae. The record is from RNAcentral.